RNAcentral lists this ribosomal RNA (562 nucleotides) under Microbacteriaceae bacterium Ri3Pw_6245. RNAcentral's name for it is "bacterial SSU rRNA". It matches the Rfam family "Bacterial small subunit ribosomal RNA", at positions 461 to 1013 of the family's 1533-position model. The record is from RNAcentral. Lineage: Bacteria; Bacillati; Actinomycetota; Actinomycetes; Micrococcales; Microbacteriaceae.
AAGCGAAAGUGACGGUACUUGCAGAAAAAGCGCCGGCUAACUACGUGCCAGCAGCCGCGGUAAUACGUAGGGCGCAAGCGUUAUCCGGAAUUAUUGGGCGUAAAGAGCUCGUAUGCUGUUUGUCGCGUCUGCUGUGAAAUCCCGAGGCUCAACCUCGGGCCUGCAGUGGGUACGGGCAGACUAGAGUGCGGUAGGGGAGAUUGGAAUUCCUGGUGUAGCGGUGGAAUGCGCAGAUAUCAGGAGGAACACCGAUGGCGAAGGCCGAUCUCUGGGCCGUAACUGACGCUUAGGAGCGAAAGGGUGGGGAGCAAACAGGCUUAGAUACCCUGGUUGUCCACCCCGUAAACGUUGGGAACUAGUUGUGGGGACCAUUCCACGGUCUCCGUGACGCAUCUAACGCAUUAAGUUCCCCGCCUGGGGAGUACGGCCGCAAGGCUAAAACUCAAAGGAAUUGACGGGGACCCGCACAAGCCGGCCGGAGCAUGCCGGAUUAAUUCCGAUGCAACGCGGAAAAACCUUACCAAGGCUUGACAUAUACCAGAACCGCCUUAAAAAUACGGAA